UUUAUAAAAAUAGUGUCUGCUUGCAGAACUUGCAUACAGGUGCUGCACGGCUGUCGUCAGCUCGUGUCGUGAGAUGUUGGGUUAAGUCCCGCAACGAGCGCAACCCUCGUCCUUAGUUGCUAACAGUUCGGCUGAGAACUCUAAGGAGACUGCCUACGCAAGUAGGAGGAAGGUGAGGAUGACGUCAAGUCAUCAUGGCCCUUACGUCCAGGGCUACACACGUGCUACAAUGGGGUAUACAAAGAGCAGCAAUACGGUGACGUGGAGCAAAUCUCAAAAAUGCCUCCCAGUUCGGAUUGUAGUCUGCAACUCGACUACAUGAAGUUGGAAUCGCUAGUAAUCGUAGAUCAGCUAUGCUACGGUGAAUACGA
Molecule: ribosomal RNA, 371 nt
Filed under: Aliarcobacter butzleri
Lineage: Bacteria; Pseudomonadati; Campylobacterota; Epsilonproteobacteria; Campylobacterales; Arcobacteraceae
Description: bacterial SSU rRNA
Rfam family: Bacterial small subunit ribosomal RNA
Source: RNAcentral